This 492-nucleotide ribosomal RNA is filed under the name uncultured bacterium. RNAcentral's name for it is "partial 16S ribosomal RNA". It matches the Rfam family "Bacterial small subunit ribosomal RNA", at positions 29 to 507 of the family's 1533-position model. The record is from RNAcentral.
AAUGAACGCUGGCGGUAGGCCUAACACAUGCAAGUCGAACGGCAACACAGUAAGCUUUUGCUCUUACGGGUGGCGAGUGGCGGAUGAGUGAGGAAUAGAUCGGAAUCUACUUUUUCGUGGGUGACAACGUGGGGAAACUUAUGCUAAUACCGCAUACGACCUACGGGUUAAAGCAGGGGAUCUUCGGACCUUUGCCGUUUGAAUGAGCCGAUGUCGGAUUAGCUAGUUGGGGGGGUAAGGGCCCACCAAGGCGACGAUCCGUAGCUGGUCUGAGAGGAUGAUCAGCCACACUGGAACUGAGACACGGUCCAGACUCCUACGGGAGGCAGCAGUGGGGAAUAUUGGGCAAUGGGCGCAAGCCUGAUCCAGCCAUACCGCGUGGGUGAAGAAGGCCUUCGGGUUGUAAAGCCCUUUUGUUGGGAAAGAAAAGCAGCAGAUUAAAACCUGCCCGUCUUGACGGUACCCAAAGAAAAAGCACCGGCUAACUACGUG